GAAGUGCGACAAGUGUCAUGACUUGCAGAUUCCCGAGAGCUGACAAAUUUCUGAAUGCAAAUGGCGGUCGUCAAAACGGCCAUGUAUUGCAGAGUGUAGUUGUUCAUACUCAUCAUCCCUUGUAUACCAUACAUAUGCGUGUGGACAAGAUUGGGAUCUGCACUUGCGAUCUAAUCACGCGAGUGUCAAGCAAAGGAGUAUCCACACACGUCAAAGUGUGUGGGCAACUUCGGAAUUGAUGUUUUCAACAUCUUGAAUGAAGUUCGAUCUACUCAUACCAUACCUCUACACAAGCCACCUCUGCGAUGCAGGAUAACCCGCUGAACUUAA
Molecule: unclassified non-coding RNA, 330 nt
Filed under: uncultured fungus
Lineage: Eukaryota; Fungi
Description: sequence contains ITS1
Rfam family: 5.8S ribosomal RNA (bases 1-99)
Source: RNAcentral